This 376-nucleotide ribosomal RNA is filed under the name uncultured soil bacterium. RNAcentral's name for it is "bacterial SSU rRNA". It matches the Rfam family "Bacterial small subunit ribosomal RNA", at positions 26 to 390 of the family's 1533-position model. The record is from RNAcentral.
AGAGUGAACGCUGGCGGUAGGCCUAACACAUGCAAGUCGAACGGCAGCACAGUGGUAGCAAUACCAUGGGUGGCGAGUGGCGGACGGGUGAGGAAUACAUCGGAAUCUACCUUUUCGUGGGGGAUAACGUAGGGAAACUUACGCUAAUACCGCAUACGCCCUUCGGGGGAAAGCCGGGGAUCGCAAGACCUGGCGCGGAUAGAUGAGCCGAUGUCGGAUUAGCUAGUUGGUGAGGUAAUGGCUCACCAAGGCGACGAUCCGUAGCUGGUCUGAGAGGAUGAUCAGCCACACUGGAACUGAGACACGGUCCAGACUCCGUACGGGAGGCAGCAGGUGGGGAAUAGUUGGACGAAGUGGGCGACGAACGCCUGACUCC